This 1005-nucleotide ribosomal RNA is filed under the name Triticum aestivum (bread wheat). RNAcentral describes it as "partial small subunit ribosomal RNA". The record is from RNAcentral. Lineage: Eukaryota; Viridiplantae; Streptophyta; Magnoliopsida; Poales; Poaceae.
AUGGAUGAUGGAGAUGGCCUAUCGGAGCCAAGCGUGGUAGGCCAUGCAGUGGAGCGUGACAGCUCAUGGUUGGGGAGCGUGUCCGGGCAAGGCGGUACGAGACAGCAGGGUAGAAGUUUCCCGGUCCAGCCAGAGGGGCAGGCCGAGGAGCAGCUAGUGGGGCCCGCAGAUUUGGAUGGCCAGCGGGAGGAAGCGACGCGCCCAUCCCAACUGGUCACCCCAUGCGAGGCCCAGACUGCUUGGCCUGGGGAUUCCCCCACGGUUAGGGUGGGGUCGUGGGACCUGCAACUGCCCCAGAGCCAGCUGGAGGCAUCAGUUGGUCAGGAUCUCACGCCAAACGAGGAAGAUACGAUGAGCUUCGACACUUGCCUAUUGAAGGGCUCGGUGGAUCAGGCAGAGGAUAGGACAAGGGAGAUGGGGCCCACUCUGCAUGGGGAUGGGACAUCUCCAUGCACGCCCAAUUCUGGAUGGUUUCUCGUGAGCCUUUCGGAACAGCAGGAGGGACAGGAGGUUUCAGAGGGCCAAAUGCAAACCCCGCAAAGACGAGUCCAGAUCUUUUGCUCUGAGUUGCGGCAGGACGUCUCACCUCUCCUGGCACAGCCGGCAACUCGCAACGUGACAACCAAGCAGCGAAGGCCACGCCAGAAAAGGGCUGCAGUUACGACAGCAAGGAGAAGCGUACGGUUGGCAAAAGGAGGGCGGGGCUCCAAGGCAUCAAAACAGCAAGCGGCCAUAAUAAAGAAGCUAUGCCUGGCGAACGAAGGAGAUCAGAUCAGCGACGAGGCACUUCAAGCCUAUGCACGGCUCUUCGACAAGCCACUUGUAGACUCCCACAUUCAAGCGAUCCUACCUCUUUUUGGCUGGGAUGCGUCGAUCCUACCACUGCAAGGAGACGAAGAUGUCGUGGCCGUCGGGCAGAAGCCCCGUCCUAGGUGGAUACGCGUGGGCAUCGUGUCACGGCAACACAACCACCCAAAAUUCUGGUGUGGAAUGUGCGGGGAUUAA